AAAGGUAUCACUCACUGCCUAGAUGCAGCACACAGUAAUCUGGUGUCGCGCCCGGAUUCAGCGCCCUUGACUCAGCCCCUUGCAACCACUAUGCUCCUAAUGUCACCGGAGAGGACAUGGCCACCGCCCUGCUGUAGGACCAUGAAUAACAUCGACCAUGUGGCAUCAAGGGAGAUAUCAUGACCACGGUUAGGAGCCAGCAUGCGAGUGUCAUAAAGAAACCGCCGUCCCACUAUCCAAAGCUGGCUGGCUGCUUAUGGGGAUCUCGCACCAUAAGUCCGACGAGUUCCUCAGCGGUGGAUGUGGCGCACUGCUGGUGUGGUCGAAGAGAACACCGCUAUCCUCACAGCCGCUAUCGAUGUCCUACUGCUUGGUAGUGGAUUACCAGGACUUCCUCAAGUACGAGGUGUCCAAGAUGGUUUCACUUAAUCUGGUGCAGGCAUAUGUGAUGUGGCUCGGCUCUGAGGUUGACGUGGCCUGACCUCGGUUACAAACCUCUAUGUUGAAGAGGAGGAAGAUAAUAGCCACCAAGUAGGCUAGCUGAAUAGAUUGCAUCUUUUAAGGUAAUUGGCAUAUUGCAUAUAUGGUUUGGUGUAGUAUACAACCAUUUUCAACUGAGUAGUUGGUUAAUUAACUGACUGAUGCUACCUUAACUGAUGUGCAUGUCAAUAGUCAGACUGAAGGCAGGUCCGUAGCUAGCCGAUGUCCAUGCUAACAGAUCUUGGUGAUGGUGUGAACUUGUUCUAUGUGCUAAACUAAUUUUGUGAAUAGCUACAUCAAUGAUCCCUUAAUUUUGUGCUGAAAUGAUACAUGGAUCGACUUUGAGCAUUUUAUUUGUGCCAUCUCUUUUUUCUGAACAAAAUACCAGGUGCAUGUUCCGGUUUCAUGUCCUGGUAUUAUAACAAAUCUAGGAAGAGAUUGUCUCUGAAAGUGAGUCGCAAAUGGAUAGGUUUAUUUUUGCAACGCGGGAGAUGGCCAACAUAGAUGCUUAGAUGCUAUGUCAGUUAGUGGUCUUCAUCUUCCUCCUAUUUGUACCUCCCUGCCACUCUUGAUCUGGUAGUGUGCUCUAAACCAAAGGUACCGGCUGCACAUCGUCGAUCUCACUCAUCGAGAAGUACACAAUGAGGUGUAUGACUAGCUUGGCAUUAAGUUCUAGGUGUUCAGUAUUUUUGUUUAGAAGCUAUAUUUAGAUAUUUUGAGCAGAUAAUGUUGAUGUGCUGUUUGUGAACACUUUUCUAUGCAAUGUGGCUAGCUAGCACAUUGCCAACACUGUAUAGACAUGUUUGAUGAUGAUGUCAUGUGUUUUGUUAUCUGCAUGUUACGCCAUGUGUCUGGUGCACGGGAGGGCUUGACAUCGAGCUUGACUACACAACCAGGGCCUCACUCUUCGCUGCGAGCUCGCCGCCGGCUGCUUUGUUCCAGUCAUUGUGUUUCAGUUCUUGUAAAUGUUCAGCUUGUUGAAUCGUGUCUAUGUCUUUUGUGUAGGUCACAAGUUGCAGCCUUUAAUUGCUAGGUUUCAUUUGUGUUUGGUUAAAGCUCAUCUCGAAGUGGAUUCUGUAUAUCUAAAUGUCACUCACAGUUGA
This is a long non-coding RNA of Lolium rigidum, 1583 nucleotides long. RefSeq lists it as uncharacterized. Lineage: Eukaryota; Viridiplantae; Streptophyta; Magnoliopsida; Poales; Poaceae. The transcript is spliced from 6 exons. The record is from RefSeq and is a predicted model, not a curated record.